This 264-nucleotide ribosomal RNA is filed under the name uncultured bacterium. RNAcentral's name for it is "partial 16S ribosomal RNA". It matches the Rfam family "Bacterial small subunit ribosomal RNA", at positions 90 to 354 of the family's 1533-position model. The record is from RNAcentral.
CGUUAGCGGCGGACGGGUGAGUAACGCGUGGACAACCUGCCCUAUGCAGGGGGAUAACAUCCGGAAACGGGUGCUAAUACCGCAUAAGCGCACAGUACCGCAUGGUACGGUGUGAAAAGCUGAGGCGGCAUAGGAUGGGUCCGCGUUGGAUUAGGCAGUUGGCGGGGUAACGGCCCACCAAACCAACGAUCCGUAGCCGGCCUGAGAGGGUGGACGGCCACAUUGGGACUGAGACACGGCCCAGACUCCUACGGGAGGCAGCAG